GCUGCGGCUGGGAAGACGUCACUUCCUGGAUACCGCCCGCGUGACGGCGGACUGGUCACGUGCCCGCCUCCAUUUCCGGUGCCCUUUGCCGCAGCCGCUCCGCCAUGUCGGCCGCUCUCCGAGGGAUCGCCCGCCUCGCCCCGGCGCUGCUCCCGCCGCGGGCCGGCUACACCACCAAGGCAGCCCGCAGCCCGGUCGGCACCGCGGAGACUGUCAUUGCAUUGAGCACCAUAUCCACUGUGAUGCUGGUGCCAGCAGCCUGGUUCCUUGCCAACAUUGAGAGCUUCAAGAAACGGGAAUGAUGAUCCGUGGCCUGGGAGCAGAGUCCGAGACCCAUCUCCACCUCCACACUCCACUCACCCUGUCAACCUGGGACCCUGUCAAUCAACAUUCCGAGUGCUCAUAACCUGUGGCCAUCUCACGAGUUGGCUGUCUUUGAAAUGCAAUGUUAAAUGCUUCUUUUGUUGAACUGAUGUUCAUUAAAUUAAAUUUACAUCUCUGAAA
Long non-coding RNA from Pristis pectinata (smalltooth sawfish), 504 nucleotides. RefSeq lists it as uncharacterized. The transcript is spliced from 2 exons. The record is from RefSeq and is a predicted model, not a curated record. Lineage: Eukaryota; Metazoa; Chordata; Chondrichthyes; Rhinopristiformes; Pristidae.